AAAGUCGUAACAAGGUUUCCGUAGGUGAACCUGCGGAAGGAUCAUUACCGAGUGAGGGCCCUCUGGGUCCAACCUCCCACCCGUGUUUAUUAUACCUUGUUGCUUCGGUGGGCCCGCCGUAUGGCCGCCGGGGGGCUUCUGCCCCCGGGCCCGUGCCCGCCGAAGACACCUAGAACUCUGUCUGAAGAUUGUAGUCUGAGUGAAAAUAUAAAUUAUUUAAAACUUUCAACAACGGAUCUCUUGGUUCCG
RNAcentral lists this unclassified non-coding RNA (249 nucleotides) under Ascomycota sp. Its description in RNAcentral is "partial contains small subunit ribosomal RNA, internal transcribed spacer 1, and 5.8S ribosomal RNA". The stretch from base 1 to 47 matches the Rfam family "Eukaryotic small subunit ribosomal RNA", at positions 1785 to 1831 of the family's 1831-position model. Lineage: Eukaryota; Fungi; Ascomycota. The record is from RNAcentral.